CUUUUCCUAUUUAGGAUGCUGCUGAGGGCUCCUAUCAAUAUUAUCUACAUUUGUAGUUUGUGGGAGGACUCCUAGAGUACUGUAGCUAGGGCCAUUUGAUGGUCAUUUGAUUGCAGCUGUUUCAAGAUUCAGAUUCCUACCAAUCUUUUUGGAUAAACCAGAUGGUUCAGCUGUUCCCACUUCCAUUUUGGUUGGUAUACAGAAUUGUUUGAGUGUUUGAAUAUCAAGAAAAAAUAGUUUGAGGCUGUCAGCUGGACUGAAAGGAGAACCAUGGGACCUUGACCCAGAUAUUUUUCCAGUCUGGUGCCUGGUCCAGUUUUAAUAAAACAAUGGCUACAAUCCAACUAACAUUAAUGGCUUCUGCAACAAUUUGUGGCCCUGCUCCUAUAAGAUGCUGCCUCUAUUUGUCUUUUUUAUUCAAUAGCAAUUGAAAAAAAUAAAGUAAAAUUCAAGAAAGAUGCUGAAGUGAAAUGCAUGGAUUGCUAUGGCCAUUCAACAUUUUGUUUUUUCUGUACUAUUUUGCUUUUGUGCUUUUUGGUACAUGGAUCUGUGUUGGGGUUUAUGAAGCUAAUCGGACAUGUUGUACACCUUCAUGUCUUUGUCAUGGGAAAAAAAGAUUUUGAGGGUCCUCUUUCAUGCGAUA
Vitis vinifera (wine grape) is the source of this 643-nucleotide long non-coding RNA. RefSeq lists it as uncharacterized. NCBI's taxonomy places the organism in Eukaryota, Viridiplantae, Streptophyta, Magnoliopsida, Vitales, Vitaceae. The record is from RefSeq and is a predicted model, not a curated record. The transcript has 2 exons.